Molecule: ribosomal RNA, 498 nt
Filed under: Arthrobacter globiformis
Lineage: Bacteria; Bacillati; Actinomycetota; Actinomycetes; Micrococcales; Micrococcaceae
Description: bacterial SSU rRNA
Rfam family: Bacterial small subunit ribosomal RNA
Source: RNAcentral
CCUGAUGCAGCGACGCCGCGUGNGNGAUGACGGCCUUCGGGUUGUAAACCUCUUUCAUUAGGGAAGAAGCGAAAGUGACGGUACCUGCAGAAGAAGCGCCGGCUAACUUCGUGCCAGCAGCCGCGGUAAUACGUAGGGCGCAAGCGUUAUCCCGAAUUAUUGGGCGUAAAGCCUCGUAGGCGGUUUGACGCGUCUGCCGUGAAAGUCCCGGGCUGAACCAGGAUCUGCGGUGGGUACGGGAGGCUAGAGUGAUGUAGGGGAACUGGAAAUCUAGGUGUAGCGGUGAAAUGCCCAGAUAUCAGGAGGAACACCAAUGGGGAAGGAGGUCUCUGUGCAUUAACUGACACUAAGGAGCGAAAGCAUGUGGAGCGAACAGGAUUAGAUACCCGGGUACUCCAUGCCAUAAACGUUGGACACUAGGUGUGUGGGACAUUCCACGUUUUCCGCACCAUAGCUAACGCAAUAAUUGCCCCGCCUGGUGAGUACCCCCGCAAGGCU